RNAcentral lists this ribosomal RNA (498 nucleotides) under uncultured bacterium. Its description in RNAcentral is "bacterial SSU rRNA". It matches the Rfam family "Bacterial small subunit ribosomal RNA", at positions 28 to 518 of the family's 1533-position model. The record is from RNAcentral.
GAUGAACGCUAGCGACAGGCUUAACACAUGCAAGUCGAGGGGCAGCAUAGAAGUAGCAAUACUUUGGUGGCGACCGGCGCACGGGUGAGUAACGCGUAUGCAACCUACCUAUCAGAGGGGAAUAACCCGGCGAAAGUCGGACUAAUACCGCAUAAAACAGGGGCACCGCAUGGUGAUAUUUGUUAAAGAAAUUCGCUGAUAGAUGGGCAUGCGUUCCAUUAGGUAGUUGGUGAGGUAACGGCUCACCAAGCCGACGAUGGAUAGGGGAACUGAGAGGUGGUCCCCCACACUGGUACUGAGACACGGACCAGACUCCUACGGGAGGCAGCAGUGAGGAAUAUUGGUCAAUGGGCGAGAGCCUGAACCAGCCAAGUCGCGUGAAGGAAGAAGGAUCUAUGGUUCGUAAACUUCUUUUGCAGGGGAAUAAAGUGCAGGACGUGUCCUGUUUUGUAUGUACCCUGAGAAUAAGGAUCGGCUAACUCCGUGCCAGCAGCCGAC